Molecule: ribosomal RNA, 499 nt
Filed under: uncultured bacterium
Lineage: Bacteria
Description: bacterial SSU rRNA
Rfam family: Bacterial small subunit ribosomal RNA
Source: RNAcentral
GAACGCUGGCGGCAGGCCUAACACAUGCAAGUCGAACGGUAACAGGAAGCAGCUUGCUGCUUCGCUGACGAGUGGCGGACGGGUGAGUAAUGUCUGGGAAACUGCCCGAUGGAGGGGGGAUAACUACUGGAAACGGUAGCUAAUACCGCAUAAUGUCGCAAGACCAAAGAGGGGGACCUUCGGGCCUCUUGCCAUCGGAUGUGCCCAGAUGGGAUUAGCUUGUUGGUGAGGUAACGGCUCACCAAGGCGACGAUCCCUAGCUGGUCUGAGAGGAUGACCAGCCACACUGGAACUGAGACACGGUCCAGACUCCUACGGGAGGCAGCAGUGGGGAAUAUUGCACAAUGGGCGCAAGCCUGAUGCAGCCAUGCCGCGUGUAUGAAGAAGGCCUUCGGGUUGUAAAGUACUUUCAGCGGGGAGGAAGGGGUUAAGGUUAAUAACCUUAGCCAUUGACGUUACCCGCAGAAGAAGCACCGGCUAACUCCGUGCCAGCAGCGGC